Molecule: long non-coding RNA, 6454 nt
Organism: Trachemys scripta elegans
Lineage: Eukaryota; Metazoa; Chordata; Testudines; Emydidae
Exons: 8
Source: RefSeq, a predicted model, not a curated record
GCUGCCUCCUCCGCGCCGCGGCCCCCGGCUCUGCCUUCACCGCCGCGGGGGGGUGUGACAGGCACCCGCCUGGCCUCCAGCAGCGCCCCCGCGCUGUCGUGCUCCGGCUUUGGCUUUGGGCAUGAAAGGCUCUGGUAACGUUCCUCUCCCCCUUGGCCGGAGGCUGCUCACUGGGAGCCGAGCGCAUCCAUUCCCCUGGCCUGCCCCUCUCCUCCUCGCUCGGGGGCUCGGGCACCGGGCAGCCCGCUGGCCCGCAAGCAGCUCGUCUCCUGUCCCGGCUGGUGGCUAUGCAGAGGAGGAAGGUGGCGGCGGCGAUUCCCGCAGGCUUGGUGCUGCGCGGGGCACUGGCACAAUUUCCCAGCACGAUCUCCAUGUACAGCUACAUCUUUCGGGCAGCUCGUGUUAAUAUAUGUCGUCAGAGGCUUCCUCCGCCAAUCCCGCGCGGCAGGGGCGGGGCCCUCGGCGCUCCGCAAUAAAACUUUUUGAUGUUCGCGUUGCUAAUUGCCGAGCUCCUCUUUUAGGAUUGGCUGCCCAGUCAUAUCCCUAAUAUAAUUAAAACAAGGGAGGAAAAAACUUUUAUCAUGGAGGCAGAGGUUAAUGCAAGUGUUUAGCAGAUGCUGUUCGGCAAAAUCUUCUUUUUAAAUAAACUCAUUAAAACAAAAUAUUGGAUCAUUUCAACCCAGCUUGCUAAAUUAAUGUACAUACCACGACAUCUAUUCAUCCGAACCAGUUAUAUGCCUGAAAUCAGUUGCAUGCUUGUUUAACUAGCCUGAUUGGAGCUUUUCAAUAUAAUUCUGGAUGCGUUGUAAUUGUGAAAGUUUCUGGUGAACCGCUACUACUGUCCCGAUAACAUCUCAAGUGAUGAAAGAAACGGAAAACAUGAGGCAAAGAAAAAGAAUAAUGCAAUAAGUUAGGCUUCUGCAUCCACCGGUUAAGUCUCUUCGAACUGGAUAAGCAAGAAGAGCAAGAGACGAGAAAAGUCUCUUAAUAAUAUACUGGAACUGAGUACAUGGCAUUUUGUCAUGUAAAGCUCAGCGGAUGAUCUGUGCCAGCAGAGGAAUCCUACGGAGGGCGCAAUUCAGCAGCAGCGUCUUCACCUUCCCUGAGUGCAAUAUGAAGUGUAUAGCUAUCUGCUGUACAAGACACAGCCCAAAGAAGCAAAGCUUCACAAUUGUUUUUCGGUCCCAGUGGUUGUCAUUGUAGUUCAUCAUAUGUGCAGACACGCUAUACGCUCCCCCUUUCUUCUCCCGAACAGCCAGAGAGCAGCUCAAACAUUUAUUUUGCAUCUUACUUGUCUUCCCCCCCUCCCCGCGAAAAGAUUCAAAGUGCAUGAUAGCGGUUGGAAAAACAUUUUUCAGGUUGGUCGUGUGUGCUAUUUUUGAAAGCAGUCAGAAUUAAACUAAAUAUUUAAAAAAGAGUAGAUAGCUCAUGGUUUUGUGAAAAAUACUGAUCUUUUCAUAUAUUUAUUUUCUUCUGUUUAUCCAAGAUAAAUAAAAGUAAACAGGCCAUAAGGGUUUAAUGAAAUUAAACAGGCCAAAGGAAUAGAACCGCAUGUUUUAUGUUUUAGGAGACUGACCUCCUAAUAAGUGUUGUCCUUUUCUAAACUCCAUUUUACAUUAUUUUUAAAAUAGAGAGGUGAAUUUAACAAACCAUCAAACACACAAAAGCUCCUGGAGGGGGGGAGUAGAUUAAAAUAUAAAGCAAAGAAUCAAUGGAAUCUAUAGCUUUGAAAACUGAAAUAUAGUAUAAUACCUGGUAAAUUAAAGAAUUUCACAUACCAAUGUCUUCCCUAAAGAACCAAAUUCAUCCAGCAUUGUCCAAUUCUCAACAUUAGUUUAAUAACUUAAAAAAUAAUAAUCCAUGGUGUACAUUGGCUGGAUAACCUUAUUCUGAAAAGCCUUCCUAGCAGGGGUAAUUCUUACUCAAGGAAGUAGUUACCCUUACUCAAUGGGACAAUUGUCUUGAGUAACAACAGCUCAUGUAAGUAAGGAUUUGCAGGAUCGGGCCCAAGAGGUAUCUCUAGCAUCUUUCAUGAAUAAGCUAAUGAAUUUUUCUAUUCUGAUUUUAGAAUGAUCUUGCUUAGAAGAUUGUUGUUCCUAAUUAGGUUCUAAGUAAUCUAAACAAAACACACAAUUUUAGUGUUUAAGUUCUCCUUUACCUUAUCCCUCCAAAAUAUUAUGGAACACAGAAUCUUGGCUUUUUGAAUGCGGAAUUAAAAUCUGGCCCGUGGCUGGAAAUGUUUAGAUCAGGUACCCCCAGCUUCUUCUAACUACAGUACCUGGCUGGGAGCAGAGGAGCAGAAAGAUGGAGCUUUUUUGUGGGUGGUUAAAAACGGAGGCCUUUACAAGCCAACUCUGGUUUGACCCCUUCACCUCAUGGGAGGAGCCAGGGUUCCCCUUAUCCCUGUUUGUGUCCUAACUACCUCACAGCAAGCACUGUCUCCCCGUGAAUCGUUUGAAAAGUUUAGAUGUGUUCAAAUUUAUAGAGUGCAUAAUGUCAUUGACCUGAGACCAAAUAUAUUAGAAAGAGAGAUAAUUCUCAAAUAUAUUUUGAAGUGUCUAAGUACCAAGUGCCCUAUGGAUGGCAAUCUACAUACUACUAAACCUCCAGUUAGAAGUCCAUAAACUAAACUCAACAUAGAAACCCUGCAAUAAUAUGGAGUUUUGAAGGGACGCUGGAGAAAUAUCAUUUGAAGUCAAACCUGUCAAUUCGCGUUAAUGAAAAUAACUCUUGCCACGUUAGUUGCACUCAGUUACACUCGUGCAGCCACAUCAUUGAUUUCAACGGGUCUAGCAAAGGGCAGAAUUUGGCCCUGCAAGUCUGCUUUAAUUGCUGCGGAUGGACGUAUAGAAACCCUGGUGUUCGUUACUAUUAUCAGUACUGAAGGGUGCAAAUAUUUAAGGCAUGAUAAUCUGUGCCAUUAAGUAUGUAUUUUAUACAUACGCGUAUAUAAACCCCAACAACAAGAUAGCGUUCACUUUGUAAGUUUAAAUGAUGUGCAAUAAACCCACAAACACACCAAUUUUACCCCUGCAUGUGUGAGUAAUUAUUCAAAGAUUGCUUCUAUUUGGGACGAAGGAUACAGAGUUGUAUUGAUGCCACUUAAAAGAAUUUAAGAAACCCAGUGAUCCCCAGAAGAAUAAUAAAGCCUUCAUAAAAUACUCUAUUGAACAGACAAUAUUUCUUAUUGAGUUUGUGGUGUUCACAUAGUUUCCCCUCGUUUAAUGUUUGCAUUCCUGGGGGAACUGUGUUUUGAAGCUGCUUUUAAAAUCAGUGCUGAUGGGAUUGCUUGGGCGAAAGGAAUUGUUUUGAUCAAUAAAUAUUUUCCUGAUAACAUUAGGUUUACGUGCUUGCGGGAAACAAAGAUUAGCCUGGCAUUACUUUGGUUGUAUGCUAACAAAAAAUAAGCACUUUUAUUGUCAAUAUUAAUGGAGACCCUCAACUUAGGUUUGGUUUUAAGCAGUGUUCAGAGAUAAAAAGCAACCCUAUUUGACCUAAAAAUAUCCCACUUCAGCUUCGACAAUUAACUGUAAUUUUGCCCAAACUGCCACAAUGUUAACGUCGUACUUUCUGUGCCACUCGGUUCAUCUACCUGCUGUAACAUAUUGUGCUAUGACUUGCCCACUAAUUAUUCAAAUACAAAGACUUGUGGUUGAAAGCAGCUGCCUACAGCAAAUGUUGUGUAACACACUCGUUCAGAAGCAUCAGUGUGUUUAGCUGCAACCACCACAAUUCCUAUAUAUGUAUCUACAUGUAAUUGAUCUAGUUGAGUGACGUCCUUUUUGGUAAUUUGGAUACACCAAGUCUCCAGUUAAUGACACAUAAUCAGCCUUUAGGUCACUUGGUCAUUCUCUUAUUACAAACCCCUCCUGCUCUCUCUGAUCUCCUUUCAAACUAAAUUUCACACAAACAAAUAAAGUAAGACAGGGACAAGGGAGAAAUAUUGGAAAACUUUUGAUAGAGCACUAUAAACAUUUGAGAAGAAAAUCUAAAAGAGGAUAGGAAAGAACAUCUUAUCAAAAAGAGAGCAUUGUGUACAAAACUUGAAGAGAAAAAGUUUCUGGCUUAUGUUAGAAAUGACACAAAAUUAAAAUAAAAAUAAUUACUAACAGAAAUGUCAUAACAUAAACACAGAAGGCAGGAGACUUACUGGAAAUGCGCACCAGUAGUGUAAUUUAUUGUUAUAGAUUAUACAACCGAUAUGUGAUUCGAAAAAUGUUUCUUUGACUCACUUUGACCAGCAAAACCUUUUUAUUUUUUACACUUAUUUUAUUAAAGCGAAACUGAACAAACUGAGAAAUAAAGACCAAAAUGUAAUUUACUUGUAAAAAUCUAUAGAAAAAAAAUGAAACGACUUCAUGGAUAUAGCAUUGUGUUAACGUGAUAAUAAAAAUCAAUAUUUUAUGUAACUAAGAUCUUAACAUAGUUUUUCUUUUUUUACCAGCAGGAGGUAAAGAACCAUUUUACUAGAUACUUUAAGAAUAUUCUUUUGAUCUGCGUCCAGCCAUAGGAUUCAGAAGGCGAUUAUUGAGCAUGUAAGUAGAGCUUUUGCAUCCUUUAGGAGACUUUACACAGGAAGAAAAAUUGAGCAACUAAUACACUGAAAGGAAACUCACAAGGCCUCAGGUAUUAUAAAUCUUAUGUGUUCAUUACAUUCACAAUCUUUUUAGGCAUUUCUAGAACACAUUUUCAUCCACAUGUAAAAAGUUCAGCUAAAAUAUUCAUGCUUAGCAGUGUUAUUAUCCUAUAGAGUAAAUCAAAUGGCAAUGUAUUGAGAAAUCCUGUACACUAUAAUCUGAUUUUCUGUCUUUCUGGGUACAUACACUUGUAUAUUUAAAUUCCCGAAGUAUGGAAAGUGGCUGGUGAUCCUCCUCCUCAAGUAUACUGUCAAAUAUUGCAUUUCAAGGGCCAGUGCCUCCCAUCAGAAAGUAUCAUACAGACUUAAUCCCACCCAACAUGGAGUAGUCUGCUAGGCAUGCAUACGCAAUAACUAACUUGCCCCUUGGUAACUCAGUGGGCACUCAGGGAGCAGAGCAGAAUUUAGACAUUGGAGGUUGUGAAUAAACACUGUUAUAAUAGCAUGCCAUUGGGUUACCGUUGUGCUUCUGGAGUGAUAUUUGAGUGGAAGGCUGAGUUUUGAACGAGAAAUUAAAGGAAUUAUAGUUUGAAUAAAAACAGCUCAAGUCACUCGAAUUACAUGGGCAAGGGAAUGCAUCAAAACGCCAUCUCUGGGAGGGGUGAUUCCCAAUGUGCAGAAUACCUCAUUGUUACUGUACCCCUAGUAUGACUCGCCAGAGGACACAAGCCCCCCCGCACACACGCUAAGGACCAAGUCAGGCCCUGCUAACUCAGGUAGUUCUACCUAGGCGCUUAAUGCUAUUUGAAUAGGGGAUGGGGCUCAUGGGGUUGAUUUACAGAUUCUUUUAACCCCUCGAUCAGCCCUCGUGGCCUGAAGUGGGCGAGAUAGUUGUUUUAAAUACUAUCUCUGGGUGACUCUGCGUUCCCUGGGCUCUCAGACGCUGCGCGUUUGAUCUGAGGCGCUGAUGUUCCCCCUCCAUUUAUCUUCCGCAGAACCCGGCCUUUGUCUCCCAGCAUCUCAAUCAAGCUGCAUAGCUGAGCGACGGUGUCAAAUCCCCCCAAUUCGCGGUCAGAUCUGAGAGGGAGAGGCUUCUUUCCUGCGCACGUUCGCUUCAGAUUUGAAUGCAGUCCCUUUAAAGAUCUAGAGGGGAUGUUCCUGUGACACAGAAGCUCCUUGGCAAAGGGUGCCCUGUUCUUUGCAAGGAACUCUAAUUUCAGACCUGAAAAACUCACUACACCAAACAUGUCUUGCAGGAUAUUUAUCCAUAAAAAAGAUGGAAGUACAAGUAGUUGAAGAGCUGCCUUGAAGAAGAGAUUUAAAGAAAAAGAAAAGAGGCCAACACCUCAAACCAGAUGUGGCCCAAAUUCAGUGGGCUAUUCAUUCGUAGCAGAGGUUGCAGCAGGAGAAGAUAAUUUGCAUAGUAACCACCACUAGAGAGGGAAGAACCACCAUGGAUUUAUCUUCCAGACCUCAUGGCUCUUUUAGUCAGCAUGAACUAAUGAAUUUUAUCUGGGGUACCCUUCAGAAGAAUACAAUUCAAAGGUUCAUUGAACUAGUAAGAGAGGGAGAGUGUACCCCUAAGUUAUCCUUCACUUUAAGGAGUCAAAGAAACCAAGUAAUUUGGUGUCUGUGAUGGGUCCAGGGCCUGGCCAGGCCAGCCAGUGAAAAGCUAGAAAGAAGACUGGGUGAGAGAAAACAACUUGAACAAAGACUUUACCUUGCUAGAUUGAGGGCAGGUCUACACUACAGCAGGGAUCGAUGCUCUGAGUAAAGGCCCACCAAAUUGACUGCAGAUCACUCUCCAGUCGACCCCGUACUCUCUCCCGAUGAAAGGAGUAAGGUAAGUCAAUGGGAGAUUUUCUCCUGUCGACCCCU